This 423-nucleotide ribosomal RNA is filed under the name Triticum aestivum (bread wheat). RNAcentral's name for it is "partial small subunit ribosomal RNA". The record is from RNAcentral. Lineage: Eukaryota; Viridiplantae; Streptophyta; Magnoliopsida; Poales; Poaceae.
AUGCUCACGGGUCUGCCCAUCCUGGGAGAAACCAGACUCAAAACCACCAAUGGUCGAGUCAAUGAUGAGAACAGCACAGUCAGCCUGGGAGGUACCGGUGAUCAUGUUCUUGAUGAAGUCGCGGUGACCAGGGGCAUCAAUAACCGUGCAGAGGUAGUUGGUGGUCUCGAACUUCGAGAGUGUGAUGUCAAUGGUAUUACCCCUCUCCCGCUCAGCCUUGAGCUUGUCAAGCACCCACGCGUACUUGAAUGACCUCUUAUUCAUCUCAGCAGCUUCCUUCUCGAGCCUCUCAAUUGCAAGCCUGUCAACGCCCCCAAGCAAGCAUAUCAAAUGGCCCGUGGUGGUCGACUUCCCAGAGUUGACAUGGCCUAUGACCACAAUAUUCAGAUGGCUCUUCUCCUUCACCAUUGCUGCAGAUAUUAG